AGAGUUUGAUCCUGGCUCAGGAUGAACGCUAGCGGCAGGCUUAACACAUGCAAGUCGAGGGGUAAGGUCUACUUCGGUGGAUACACGACCGGCGCACGGGUGAGUAACACGUUUGCAACCCACCUUUAACUGGGGGAUAGCUCUCGGAAACGAGAAUUAAUACCCCAUAAUAUCAUAGAAUCGCAUGGUUUUAUGAUUAAAGCUCCGGCGGUUAAAGAUGGGCAUGCGUACCAUUAGCUUGUUGGUAAGGUAACGGCUUACCAAGGCAACGAUGGAUAGGGGGUCUGAGAGGAUGAUCCCCCACACUGGUACUGAGACACGGACCAGACUCCUACGGGAGUCAGCAGUGAGGAAUAUUGGUCAAUGGGCGAAAGCCUGAACCAGCCAUGCCGCGUGCAGGAUGACAGCCCUACGGGUUGUAAACUGCUUUUAUACUCCAAGAAACUCCGAUACGUGUAUCGGACUGACGGUAGAGUAAGAAUAAGCACCGGCUAACUCCGUGCCAGCAGCCGCGGUAAUACGGAGGGUGCAAGCGUUAUCCGGAUUUAUUGGGUUUAAAGGGUGCGUAGGCGGAAUAAUAAGUCAGCGGUGAAAUCCUGCAGCUUAACUGUAGAAUUGCCAUUGAUACUGUUGUUCUUGAGUAUAGUUGAGGUGGGCGGAAUGUAUAAUGUAGCGGUGAAAUGCCUAGAUAUUAUACAGAACACCUAUUGCGAAGGCAGCUCACUAAACUAUAACUGACGCUGAUGCACGAAAGCGUGGGGAGCGAACAGGAUUAGAUACCCUGGUAGUCCACGCCGUAAACGAUGAUUACUCGUUGUGUGUGAUACACUAUACGCGACUGAGCGAAAGCAUUAAGUAAUCCACCUGGGGAGUACGAUCGCAAGGUUGAAACUCAAAGGAAUUGACGGGGGCCCGCACAAGCGGUGGAACAUGUGGUUUAAUUCGAUGAUACGCGAGGAACCUUACCUGGGCUUAAAUGUAGAACGACAGAUCCCGAAAGGGAUCCUUCUUCGGACGGACUAUAAGGUGCUGCAUGGUUGUCGUCAGCUCGUGCCGUGAGGUGUCGGGUUAAGUCCCAUAACGAGCGCAACCCCUAUCGUUAGUUGCCAGCGGAUAAUGCCGGGGACUCUAACGAAACUGCCGCUGUAAGGCGAGAGGAAGGUGGGGAUGACGUCAAAUCAGCACGGCCCUUAUGUCCAGGGCUACACACGUGUUACAAUGGUCGGUACAAAGGGCAGCUACCUGGCAACAGGAUGCUAAUCUUUAAAGCCGAUCCCUAGUUCGGAUUGGAGUCUGCAACUCGACUUCAUGAAGUUGGAAUCGCUAGUAAUCGCGUAUCAGCAAUGACGCGGUGAAUACGUUCCCGGGCCUUGUACACACCGCCCGUCAAGCCAUGGAAGCUGGGGGUACCUAAAGUCCGUAACCGUAAGGAUCGGCCUAGGGUAAAAACUAGUGACUGGGGCUAAGUCGAAACAAGGUA
This 1480-nucleotide ribosomal RNA is filed under the name metagenome. RNAcentral describes it as "bacterial SSU rRNA". It matches the Rfam family "Bacterial small subunit ribosomal RNA". The record is from RNAcentral.